CGAACGGGUGAGUAACAACGUGGGCAACCUGCCCAAAANAGGGGGAGUAACACUUGGAAACAGGUGCUAAUACCGCAUAACCAUAGUUAGCGCAUGGUAACUAUGUAAAAGGUGGCUAUGCUACCGCUUUUGGAUGGGCCCGCGGCGCAUUAGCUAGUUGGUGGGGUAAAGGCUUACCAAGGCAAUGAUGCGUAGCCGAACUGAGAGGUUGAUCGGCCACAUUGGGACUGAGACACGGCCCAAACUCCUACGGAAGGCAGCAG
This 263-nucleotide ribosomal RNA is filed under the name uncultured bacterium. RNAcentral's name for it is "partial 16S ribosomal RNA". It matches the Rfam family "Bacterial small subunit ribosomal RNA", at positions 99 to 354 of the family's 1533-position model. The record is from RNAcentral.